GUGAGCUUUUUAAAAUUGCUGUUACUCGGGCUCCACCCCGAAAUGUUCAGAUUUAAUUUGUUUGAGGUGGAUCCCGGGCACUGGGAUGUUUAAGAGCCCCAGAUGAGGCUAAUUUGGAGUUAGGGUUGAGAAGCACUGUGUGAAAGCAUCUAAACUGGAGGAGCUGCUUCAUAGGAUGCCAUUCUCACAGGUGUGGGCAACUGAGACUCCUGGUGGGACGCCUGCCACAGCAUGGCCUUUCCCAAGCGGUGCCACGUCCGCACCCAGGAUUCGAACCAGCGAACCCCAGGCCGCUGAGAAGCAGAACGUGCCGCUGUGCCAUCGGGCCAGCCCCUCAAAGUGUGUUUUUUUGACCAUUCAUACCAUAAUCAUCUGGGGUGCUUAUUAACAUGCAGAUUCCUGGGUCCCAUUCCAGACCUACUGAAUGGAGCACUCUGGGAGGAUACCCAGGGCUCUGCAUUGUGGCGGUUGCUCCAGGGGAUUUUGGUGAGAGCACCAAUGCUUAACUGGUUUUCACUAUGUGGUAUUAACCCUGCGUGUCCUGAGGGUAUUAGUAAAUCCUAGUAAUUUAGUGUUCUUUUUUAGUUUUGCAAUCGCAAGGCUUCUAGCCCUGUAGCCUUGCAUCACUUCUCAGACAGAACCAUAAACUUUUUGCUGUGUAGGCUCUUUGCUAAUGAGAGGGAUGGCCUGAUUUAACCUUUCUGGCAUUCUUGACCAACUAACAGUUUCCUUGUAUCUUUCCUCAAUUCUGUCACAAAGCAGAAAAAGAAAAAAAAUGAAGUAGCAGCAUGAUGUCACUGGUCUGUUUAAUAACCCCAUGAUUAUCUAUUUCCAAUUAGCAGUUUCCCUGCCAGCUGGCCUCCGAGUGGCUCUGAGCUUGCCCUGGUAUCAGGUAUCCAGCUGCUUAGUGUUUGCUGAUUUAUUUGCAUCAAAUAGGCCCUUAAUAACUAUGUCUCACAGGAUCAAACAACUCUGCUUUUUGGCACAGAUUUCUCUCAAGAAUUUGGAGUUACAAAGCCAAGCUCUACCAGUGAUGUUGAAAACUGAUUAUUAGAGAGCACAAUGUAACUGUGAGGUAGCUGUAAAAGGUUUCUCCGUGCAGAUGAAACCUUUCAGAUUCCUGCUUUGCUGUUGUCUCUCUCCUGGUUCUCGUCUUUCUAACAGUAAACAGAAUCCUGGUGUCUUCAUCCUACUUCUGCUGUCAUACUUUUCUAAAAUUGAGCUGCCUUGGAUCCACUUCCCAGUUACAUUGAAGAAUUAAUGUGAUGACUUCCGAAUCAGAGGAUCAAAUUGAGCAUGGACUAAGAGACUCUAGUCCCACAUCAAACAUAUAGAAAUGUCAGAAAAAAAAUUAUUCAAAGUCAAAUUAAAAGGAGCCAAGCAGAAAUCUUAAACAUCAGAAACAGAGUCAUUGAAAUAAAGAGCU
RNAcentral lists this long non-coding RNA (1426 nucleotides) under Equus caballus (horse). RNAcentral describes it as "lncRNA (ENSECAG00000048709.1)". Lineage: Eukaryota; Metazoa; Chordata; Mammalia; Perissodactyla; Equidae. The record is from RNAcentral.